Molecule: unclassified non-coding RNA, 215 nt
Filed under: rhizosphere metagenome
Description: partial ribosomal RNA internal transcribed spacer region
Source: RNAcentral
GUAGGUGAACCUGCGGAAGGAUCAUUACAGAGUUCAUGCCCUCACGGGUAGAUCUCCCACCCUUGAAUACUAUACCUUUGUUGCUUUGGCGGGCCGCCUUGGCUACUGGCUCCGGCUGGUAAGUGCCCGCCAAAGGACCCCAACACUCUGGAUAUUAGUGUCGUCUGAGUACUAUAUAAUAGUUAAAACUUUCAACAACGGAUCUCUUGGUUCUG